GUUUCCGUAGGUGAACCUGCGGAAGGAUCAUUCAUAAUAAGUGUUUUAUGGCACUUUUUUAAAUCCAUAUCCACCUUGUGUGCAAUGUCAGGGUUGGCCUCUUUUGAUCAGCCCCAAACAUCAACUAUUAUCUCAACUCUUUGUCUGAAAAAUAUUAUGAAUAAAACAAUUCAAAAUACAACUUUCAACAACGGAUCUCUUGGCUCUC
Molecule: unclassified non-coding RNA, 208 nt
Filed under: plant metagenome
Description: partial contains small subunit ribosomal RNA, internal transcribed spacer 1, and 5.8S ribosomal RNA
Source: RNAcentral